CCCUGCCAUUUGUACACACCGCCCGUCGCACCUACCGAUUGAAUGGUCCGGUGAAGACUCGGGAUUGUGGUUUGGCUCCUUCAUUGGGGCCAGACCGCGAGAACUUGUCUGAACCUUAUCAUUUAGAGGAAGGUGAAGUCGUAACAAGGU
This 150-nucleotide ribosomal RNA is filed under the name uncultured eukaryote. Its description in RNAcentral is "partial small subunit ribosomal RNA". It matches the Rfam family "Eukaryotic small subunit ribosomal RNA", at positions 1651 to 1800 of the family's 1831-position model. The record is from RNAcentral.